Molecule: ribosomal RNA, 468 nt
Filed under: uncultured bacterium
Lineage: Bacteria
Description: partial 16S ribosomal RNA
Rfam family: Bacterial small subunit ribosomal RNA
Source: RNAcentral
GACGAACGCUGGCGGCGUGCUUAACACAUGCAAGUCGAACGGAAAGGCCCUGCUUUUGUGGGGUGCUCGAGUGGCGAACGGGUGAGUAACACGUGAGUAACCUGCCCUUGACUUUGGGAUAACUUCAGGAAACUGGGGCUAAUACCGGAUAGGAGCUCCUGCUGCAUGGUGGGGGUUGGAAAGUUUCGGCGGUUGGGGAUGGACUCGCGGCUUAUCAGCUUGUUGGUGGGGUAGUGGCUUACCAAGGCUUUGACGGGUAGCCGGCCUGAGAGGGUGACCGGCCACCUUGGGACUGAGAUACGGCCCAGACUCCUACGGGAGGCAGAAGUGGGGAAUAUUGCACAAUGGGCGGAAGCCUGAUGCAGCAACGCCGCGUGCGGGAUGACGGCCUUCGGGUUGUAAACCGCUUUCGCAUGUGACGAAGCGUGAGUGACGGUAAUGGGUAAAGAAGCACCGGCUAACUACGUG